This 437-nucleotide long non-coding RNA is filed under the name Ictidomys tridecemlineatus (thirteen-lined ground squirrel). Its description in RNAcentral is "lncRNA (ENSSTOG00000020191.2)". The record is from RNAcentral. Lineage: Eukaryota; Metazoa; Chordata; Mammalia; Rodentia; Sciuridae.
AUGGAUGGCUCUUUCGCCAACAAGCAUGGCUGCCACAUCAUAGGCCACAUCGAUGACUAUACUGCUCUCAGAGAGCAGAUUGCAGAGGGGAAACAGCUGGUUGAAAAGAUACAGUCUCUCCUGAGACCCACAUGCAACUUCCUGGGCCUUGAAGCUCAGAGCUUAGAGGCACCAGGCAGCAAAUGUUUCCAUGAGCUAAGAAGCAGUGCUCAUGCCCUGCAGCACACCCUAGAUGAGUCAGCCUCGCUCCUGACCAUGUUCUGGAGAGCAGCUUUACCAAGCUUCCACGGCCCUGGGCUGCCUGGCAAAGUGGUAAGAGGCCAGUGUUGUCUUCUGGUAUAAGCCCUGCUCUUCUGCCCCAUGAGAUUCUAUAGUCUCAGUUCCAGGGCUUUCUGAGGGUCACAAGCUACAUAGGUUGUUAGAAUGUGCUGGAUCUU